CAAUCACUAACUCCACUGCCAUCAA
This 25-nucleotide non-coding RNA is filed under the name Callithrix jacchus (white-tufted-ear marmoset). The record is from RNAcentral. Lineage: Eukaryota; Metazoa; Chordata; Mammalia; Primates; Cebidae. RNAcentral also lists the same sequence under 1 other name.